RNAcentral lists this transfer RNA (76 nucleotides) under SAR202 cluster bacterium Casp-Chloro-G1. RNAcentral's name for it is "tRNA-Arg". It matches the Rfam family "tRNA". From Rfam's summary of the family: Transfer RNA (tRNA) molecules are approximately 80 nucleotides in length. Their secondary structure includes four short double-helical elements and three loops (D, anti-codon, and T loops). Further hydrogen bonds mediate the characteristic L-shaped molecular structure. tRNAs have two regions of fundamental functional importance: the anti-codon, which is responsible for specific mRNA codon recognition, and the 3' end, to which the tRNAs corresponding amino acid is attached (by aminoacyl-tRNA synthetases). tRNAs cope with the degeneracy of the genetic code in two manners: having more than one tRNA (with a specific anti-codon) for a particular amino acid; and 'wobble' base-pairing, i.e. permitting non-standard base-pairing at the 3rd anti-codon position. RNAcentral also lists the same sequence under 2 other names. The record is from RNAcentral. Lineage: Bacteria; Bacillati; Chloroflexota; Dehalococcoidia.
GCCCUCGUAGCUCAGGGGAUAGAGCACUGGCCUCCGGAGCCAGGUGUCGCAGGUUCGAAUCCUGCCGAGGGUACCA